GAAAUAGUUAUUAGGAGUACUCAAUGACUUUGUCACCAAACAACUACCCCACAAUGUUACAUGGGGAUUGAGCUUGUUAUAUGCUAUGGAGCACAAAGCUGACCGUUCAUUGACUUCCACUCAAGGUGAGCUUGCACAUGCAUUGCGGUUUUUGGCAUCAGUUGUAUCUCAAAGCUUCUUGGCCUUUGGUGACAUCUUGGAGCUGCAUCGAAAGUUCAUCUAACUGUCUGGUGGUGUUAAUUGGAUUUUUGAACUUGAGGAACUUCUUGAUGCUGCACAAUCUGAUGAAAAUGUUGGUACUUCAUCAAAGUCCAAUGAGGAAUCUGAGGAUGUUAUCUCUUUUUCGGAGGUUGAUAUUAUUACGCCAACACAUAAUUUAUUAGCCAGAAAGUUGAAAUGCGAGAUAGUACCAGGGAAAAACCUUCUUCUUACCGGUUAGUGUUAUAGUCUGAUUAUUAUGGAUAAUGAUUAUAAAUAACUGUGAGGAUUAAA
Lactuca sativa (garden lettuce) is the source of this 492-nucleotide non-coding RNA. The record is from RefSeq and is a predicted model, not a curated record. NCBI's taxonomy places the organism in Eukaryota, Viridiplantae, Streptophyta, Magnoliopsida, Asterales, Asteraceae.